RNAcentral lists this ribosomal RNA (253 nucleotides) under uncultured bacterium. RNAcentral describes it as "partial 16S ribosomal RNA". It matches the Rfam family "Bacterial small subunit ribosomal RNA", at positions 524 to 776 of the family's 1533-position model. The record is from RNAcentral.
GACAGAGGGUGCGAACGUUGUUCGGAAUUACUGGGCGUAAAGCGCGUGUAGGCGGCAACGCAAGUCGGGCGUGAAAUCCCACGGCUCAACCGUGGAAGUGCACUCGAAACUGCGUAGCUAGAGUCCUGGAGAGGAAGGUGGAAUGCUUGGUGUAGAGGUGAAAUUCGUAGAUAUCGAGCGGAACACCGGUGGCGAAGGCGGCCUUCUGGGCCAACACUGACGCUCAUGCACGAAAGCCAGGGGAGCAAACGGG